This 459-nucleotide ribosomal RNA is filed under the name Microbacterium sp. FS49(2011). RNAcentral describes it as "bacterial SSU rRNA". It matches the Rfam family "Bacterial small subunit ribosomal RNA", at positions 41 to 513 of the family's 1533-position model. Lineage: Bacteria; Bacillati; Actinomycetota; Actinomycetes; Micrococcales; Microbacteriaceae. The record is from RNAcentral.
CGCGUGCUUACACUGCAAGUCGAACGGUGAACACGGAGCUUGCUCUGUGGGAUCAGUGGCGAACGGGUGAGUAACACGUGAGCAACCUGCCCCUGACUCUGGGAUAAGCGCUGGAAACGGCGUCUAAUACUGGAUAUGUGACGUGACCGCAUGGUCUGCGUCUGGAAAGAAUUUCGGUUGGGGAUGGGCUCGCGGCCUAUCAGCUUGUUGGUGAGGUAAUGGCUCACCAAGGCGUCGACGGGUAGCCGGCCUGAGAGGGUGACCGGCCACACUGGGACUGAGACACGGCCCAGACUCCUACGGGAGGCAGCAGUGGGGAAUAUUGCACAAUGGGCGCAAGCCUGAUGCAGCAACGCCGCGUGAGGGACGACGGCCUUCGGGUUGUAAACCUCUUUUAGCAGGGAAGAAGCGAAAGUGACGGUACCUGCAGAAAAAGCGCCGGCUAACUACGUGCCAGCA